UUCAACUAUAAAAUUAUUCUAAACAUAAAUUAUAUGAAAUUUAAUUAAAUUUCACAUUUUAAGUUGUAUCAUACGAAAUACAAUAAUCCACUAGAAAUGAAUUCUACGUUUCUAGUUCACUUAAAUUUAUCUUUCAAUUUGCUGUUGUCAAUUUUUUAGGGUCCAUUUGGAUGGGUGUGCAUUUGAAAUGAAUAUGGAUAAGGAUUUUUUCAUUUCAAGUGUAAAAAUUAUAAUUUCAAAUAUAAUAAUAAUUCUGUUUGCUUCUGUCCAAAUGAACCCUUUACAUUUACCUGGCACCUUUUUGAACUUCGCCAAAAUUAUCAAUAUUGUUUGCUUCUGAUUUAUUCCAAGUAAUAAGAAAAUGAUUUCUAGCUCCAUAUGAUUGUCGUUGUGCACUGCGGAAAUGUGUAAAAUUGCAAAGAAACAAAGCAAACACACAAAAUACUAAUAUUUACGUGGUUCACCCUCUCAACAUAGGGCUACAUCCACGAGCAUGCUAUCUUCCACUAUCUUCGAUAAUGAAUCAUCAAUUACAAACUCAAACUAUACUACCCAUCAACCUAAUUACACCCAAAAGAACCCAUACAACAUCGAACUAUUCAUAGUAAAUAUAUUAGUUAGU
Molecule: unclassified non-coding RNA, 622 nt
Filed under: Hevea brasiliensis (rubber tree)
Lineage: Eukaryota; Viridiplantae; Streptophyta; Magnoliopsida; Malpighiales; Euphorbiaceae
Source: RNAcentral